GUGCAGCAGUCGCGAAACCUCCGCAAUGCGGGAAACCGCGACGGGGGACCCCGAGUGCCGUGGCAACGCCACGGCUUUUCCGGAGUGUAAAAAGCUCCGGGAAUAAGGGCUGGGCAAGGCCGGUGGCAGCCGCCGCGGUAAUACCGGCGGCCCGAGUGGUGGCCGCUAUUAUUGGGCCUAAAGCGUCCGUAGCCGGGCCCGUAAGUCCCUGGCGAAAUCCCACGGCUCAACCGUGGGGCUUGCUGGGGAUACUGCGGGUCUUGGGACCGGGAGAGGCGGGGGGUACCCCUGGGGUAGGGGUGAAAUCCGUAUAAUCCCAGGGGACCGCCAGUGGCGAAGGCGCCCCGCUGGAACGGUCCGACGGUGAGGACGAAGGCCAGGGGAGCAAACCGGAUUAGAUACCCCUGUAGU
This 411-nucleotide ribosomal RNA is filed under the name uncultured microorganism. RNAcentral's name for it is "bacterial SSU rRNA". It matches the Rfam family "Archaeal small subunit ribosomal RNA", at positions 330 to 745 of the family's 1478-position model. The record is from RNAcentral.